This 2930-nucleotide ribosomal RNA is filed under the name Bacillus cereus. Its description in RNAcentral is "bacterial LSU rRNA". It matches the Rfam family "Bacterial large subunit ribosomal RNA". The record is from RNAcentral. Lineage: Bacteria; Bacillati; Bacillota; Bacilli; Caryophanales; Bacillaceae.
UUUGGUUAAGUUAGAAAGGGCGCACGGUGGAUGCCUUGACACUAGGAGUCGAUGAAGGACGGGACUAACGCCGAUAUGCUUCGGGGAGCUGUAAGUAAGCUUUGAUCCGAAGAUUUCCGAAUGGGGAAACCCACCAUACGUAAUGGUAUGGUAUCCUUAUCUGAAUACAUAGGGUAAGGAAGACAGACCCAGGGAACUGAAACAUCUAAGUACCUGGAGGAAGAGAAAGCAAAUGCGAUUUCCUGAGUAGCGGCGAGCGAAACGGAACAUAGCCCAAACCAAGAGGCUUGCCUCUUGGGGUUGUAGGACAUUCUAUACGGAGUUACAAAGGAACGAGGUAGACGAAGCGACCUGGAAAGGUCCGUCGUAGAGGGUAACAACCCCGUAGUCGAAACUUCGUUCUCUCUUGAAUGUAUCCUGAGUACGGCGGAACACGUGAAAUUCCGUCGGAAUCUGGGAGGACCAUCUCCCAAGGCUAAAUACUCCCUAGUGAUCGAUAGUGAACCAGUACCGUGAGGGAAAGGUGAAAAGCACCCCGGAAGGGGAGUGAAAGAGAUCCUGAAACCGUGUGCCUACAAAUAGUCAGAGCCCGUUAACGGGUGAUGGCGUGCCUUUUGUAGAAUGAACCGGCGAGUUACGAUCCCGUGCGAGGUUAAGCUGAAGAGGCGGAGCCGCAGCGAAAGCGAGUCUGAAUAGGGCGUUUAGUACGUGGUCGUAGACCCGAAACCAGGUGAUCUACCCAUGUCCAGGGUGAAGUUCAGGUAACACUGAAUGGAGGCCCGAACCCACGCACGUUGAAAAGUGCGGGGAUGAGGUGUGGGUAGCGGAGAAAUUCCAAUCGAACCUGGAGAUAGCUGGUUCUCCCCGAAAUAGCUUUAGGGCUAGCCUUAAGUGUAAGAGUCUUGGAGGUAGAGCACUGAUUGGACUAGGGGUCCUCAUCGGAUUACCGAAUUCAGUCAAACUCCGAAUGCCAAUGACUUAUCCUUAGGAGUCAGACUGCGAGUGAUAAGAUCCGUAGUCAAAAGGGAAACAGCCCAGACCGCCAGCUAAGGUCCCAAAGUGUGUAUUAAGUGGAAAAGGAUGUGGAGUUGCUUAGACAACUAGGAUGUUGGCUUAGAAGCAGCCACCAUUUAAAGAGUGCGUAAUAGCUCACUAGUCGAGUGACUCUGCGCCGAAAAUGUACCGGGGCUAAAUACACCACCGAAGCUGCGGAUUGAUACCGAAUGGUAUCAGUGGUAGGGGAGCGUUCUAAGGACAGUGAAGUCAGACCGUAAGGACUGGUGGAGUGCUUAGAAGUGAGAAUGCCGGUAUGAGUAGCGAAAGACGGGUGAGAAUCCCGUCCACCGAAUGCCUAAGGUUUCCUGAGGAAGGCUCGUCCGCUCAGGGUUAGUCAGGACCUAAGCCGAGGCCGACAGGCGUAGGCGAUGGACAACAGGUUGAUAUUCCUGUACCACCUCUUUAUCGUUUGAGCAAUGGAGGGACGCAGAAGGAUAGAAGAAGCGUGCGAUUGGUUGUGCACGUCCAAGCAGUUAGGCUGAUAAGUAGGCAAAUCCGCUUAUCGUGAAGGCUGAGCUGUGAUGGGGAAGCUCCUUAUGGAGCGAAGUCUUUGAUUCCCCGCUGCCAAGAAAAGCUUCUAGCGAGAUAAAAGGUGCCUGUACCGCAAACCGACACAGGUAGGCGAGGAGAGAAUCCUAAGGUGUGCGAGAUAACUCUGGUUAAGGAACUCGGCAAAAUGACCCCGUAACUUCGGGAGAAGGGGUGCUUUCUUAACGGAAAGCCGCAGUGAAUAGGCCCAAGCGACUGUUUAGCAAAAACACAGCUCUCUGCGAAGCCGUAAGGCGAAGUAUAGGGGGUGACACCUGCCCGGUGCUGGAAGGUUAAGGAGAGGGGUUAGCGUAAGCGAAGCUCUGAACUGAAGCCCCAGUAAACGGCGGCCGUAACUAUAACGGUCCUAAGGUAGCGAAAUUCCUUGUCGGGUAAGUUCCGACCCGCACGAAAGGUGUAACGAUUUGGGCACUGUCUCAACCAGAGACUCGGUGAAAUUAUAGUACCUGUGAAGAUGCAGGUUACCCGCGACAGGACGGAAAGACCCCGUGGAGCUUUACUGUAGCCUGAUAUUGAAUUUUGGUACAGUUUGUACAGGAUAGGCGGGAGCCAUUGAAACCGGAGCGCUAGCUUCGGUGGAGGCGCUGGUGGGAUACCGCCCUGACUGUAUUGAAAUUCUAACCUACGGGUCUUAUCGACCCGGGAGACAGUGUCAGGUGGGCAGUUUGACUGGGGCGGUCGCCUCCUAAAGUGUAACGGAGGCGCCCAAAGGUUCCCUCAGAAUGGUUGGAAAUCAUUCGUAGAGUGCAAAGGCAUAAGGGAGCUUGACUGCGAGACCUACAAGUCGAGCAGGGACGAAAGUCGGGCUUAGUGAUCCGGUGGUUCCGCAUGGAAGGGCCAUCGCUCAACGGAUAAAAGCUACCCCGGGGAUAACAGGCUUAUCUCCCCCAAGAGUCCACAUCGACGGGGAGGUUUGGCACCUCGAUGUCGGCUCAUCGCAUCCUGGGGCUGUAGUCGGUCCCAAGGGUUGGGCUGUUCGCCCAUUAAAGCGGUACGCGAGCUGGGUUCAGAACGUCGUGAGACAGUUCGGUCCCUAUCCGUCGUGGGCGUAGGAAAUUUGAGAGGAGCUGUCCUUAGUACGAGAGGACCGGGAUGGACGCACCGCUGGUGUACCAGUUGUUCUGCCAAGGGCAUAGCUGGGUAGCUAUGUGCGGAAGGGAUAAGUGCUGAAAGCAUCUAAGCAUGAAGCCCCCCUCAAGAUGAGAUUUCCCAUAGCGUAAGCUAGUAAGAUCCCUGAAAGAUGAUCAGGUUGAUAGGUUCGAGGUGGAAGCAUGGUGACAUGUGGAGCUGACGAAUACUAAUAGAUCGAGGACUUAACCAUAUAA